This 270-nucleotide ribosomal RNA is filed under the name uncultured archaeon. RNAcentral's name for it is "partial 16S ribosomal RNA". It matches the Rfam family "Archaeal small subunit ribosomal RNA", at positions 477 to 747 of the family's 1478-position model. The record is from RNAcentral.
CAGCACCUCAAGUGGUCAGGAUGAUUAUUGGGCCUAAAGCAUCCGUAGCCGGCUCUGUAAAUUUUCGGUUAAAUCUGUAUGCUCAACAUACAGGCUGCCGGGAAUACUGCAGAGCUAGGGAGUGGGAGAGGUAGACGGUACUCGGUAGGAAGGGGUAAAAUCCUUUGAUCUAUUGAUGACCACCUGUGGCGAAGGCGGUCUACCAGAACACGUCCGACGGUGAGGGAUGAAAGCUGGGGGAGCAAACCGGAUUAGAUACCCGAGUAGUCC